Molecule: ribosomal RNA, 274 nt
Filed under: uncultured bacterium
Lineage: Bacteria
Description: partial 16S ribosomal RNA
Rfam family: Bacterial small subunit ribosomal RNA
Source: RNAcentral
AUACGAAGGGGGCAAGCGUUGUUCGGAAUAACUGGGCGUAAAGCGCACGUAGGCGGAAUGUUAAGUUAGAGGUGAAAUCCCAGGGCUCAACCCUGGAACUGCCUUUAAUACUGGCAAUCUAGAGACCGAGAGAGGUGAGUGGAAUUCCGAGUGUAGAGGUGAAAUUCGUAGAUAUUCGGAGGAACACCAGUGGCGAAGGCGGCUCACUGGCUCGGUACUGACGCUGAGGCGCGAAAGCGUGGGGAGCAAACAGGAUUAGAAACCCUAGUAGUCC